CCUGGCGGCACUAGCGCGGUGGUCCCACCUGACCCCAUGCCGAACUCAGAAGUGAAACGCCGUAGCGCCGAUGGUAGUGUGGGGUCUCCCCAUGUGAGAGUAGUG
This 105-nucleotide ribosomal RNA is filed under the name Acinetobacter baumannii. Lineage: Bacteria; Pseudomonadati; Pseudomonadota; Gammaproteobacteria; Moraxellales; Moraxellaceae. The record is from RNAcentral.